CCCAAAAAUUUUUUAGAGCUUCAAAACAUUGUCCGCAUUUGGCCCAAGCCCAAUAACUCGCCAACUCUCCAUCAGUCCAUCUCCCUCAGCCGGUCAGCCCAAACCCUUCCAGUCCCAGACUCCCGUUCGUUCCCCUCCCCGCGACCCCGACCCUGUGCCCCGCCGCCACCCGCGCCCAGCGCCCGCAGGCCGCCGCCGCCCGCCACUCCCCGCCCCCCGACCCCCGUCCCCCGGUCUCAUCCCGCCGGCGCCGUGCCUGGGCUGGGCACACGGCCGUGCGGGCGUGCGGUGUGCCUCCGCCUCGCGCCGCGGCCGCCUCGUCGUUACGCGCCGCGCCUUUCGCCGCCGCAGCGCCAGUGGGGUCCGCUGGUCUCGGAUCUGCCUGAGGCAAGGCUAGCGCGCUCAGAGAUUUGCUGGCAUUGGAGCGGCUUUGCCGUUUCGGCAGCGGCGGGGAGAUAGCUCGUUGCUGCGGCGGGGCGACCAGGUCCGUGCGGGGAAUUUGGCUUCGCGGCGGGCGGCGGCAUCCAAACCCAGCAGAUAAGACCGUAAGAAUUUAAGUUCUCAGUUCUCACUAAUUGGUUCCAAAAUGCUGCUUCAGUAUGCGUAUACAGAACAAAGAGUUCAAGUGGAUUUGUCUUCAGAGGUCUGUACUUUUCCAAAGAAAAAUCAUAGGUCAUAUGAUACAAAUAUUUGGCUACCAGGACAUAGGGAUUCUCUUUCGAAGGUAGAAGUGGUUGGCCAUAAAGUAAAAACUAGAAACUAAUGAUCUUGCAGAGGUUUUCUGCAUUAAUAAUUGAACUUUCCUUCAAGUUUUAUCCA
Panicum virgatum (switchgrass) is the source of this 819-nucleotide long non-coding RNA. RefSeq lists it as uncharacterized. The record is from RefSeq and is a predicted model, not a curated record. The transcript has 2 exons. Lineage: Eukaryota; Viridiplantae; Streptophyta; Magnoliopsida; Poales; Poaceae.